This 332-nucleotide ribosomal RNA is filed under the name uncultured Bacteroidota bacterium. RNAcentral describes it as "bacterial SSU rRNA". It matches the Rfam family "Bacterial small subunit ribosomal RNA", at positions 28 to 351 of the family's 1533-position model. The record is from RNAcentral. Lineage: Bacteria; Pseudomonadati; Bacteroidota.
GAUGAACGCUAGCGGCAGGCUUAAUACAUGCAAGUCGAGGGGCAGCAUGUCCCGCAGCAAUGCGGGAUGAUGGCGACCGGCAAACGGGUGCGGAACACGUACACAACCUUCCUUUGAGCGGGGAAUAGCCCGGGGAAACCCGGAUUAAUACCUCAUAGUAUGGUGAAGAGGCAUCUCUUUACUAUUAAAGAUUUAUCACUUAAAGAUGGGUGUGCGGCUGAUUAGGUAGUUGGCGGGGUAACGGCCCACCAAGCCUACGAUCAGUAACUGGUGUGAGAGCACGACCAGUCACACGGGCACUGAGACACGGGCCCGACUCCUACGGGUGGCAG